RNAcentral lists this ribosomal RNA (465 nucleotides) under uncultured bacterium. RNAcentral's name for it is "partial 16S ribosomal RNA". It matches the Rfam family "Bacterial small subunit ribosomal RNA", at positions 28 to 507 of the family's 1533-position model. The record is from RNAcentral.
GAUGAACGCUGGCGGCGUGCUUAACACAUGCAAGUCGAACGGAAAGGCGCCUGCUUUCCGUGGUACUCGAUUGGCGAACGGGUGAGUAACACGUGGGUGAUCUGCCCUUCACUUCGGGAGAAGACUGGGAAACUGGGUCUAAUACCGGAUAUGACGAUUUUUUGGAUGCCAUUGUGGAAAGUUUUUCGGUGUGGGAUGAGCUCGUGGCCGAUCAGCUUGUUGGUUGGGUAAUGGCAUACGAAGGCGUAGACGGGUGGCCGGCCUGAGAGGGUGUACGGCCACCUUGGGACUGAGGGACGGCCCAGAAUCCUACGGGAGGCAGCAGUGGGGAAUAUUGCACAAUGGGCGCAAGCCUGAUGCAGAGACGCCGGGUGGGGGAUGCCGGCCUUCGGGUUGUAAACUCAUUUCGAUAGGGACGAAGCGAAAGUGACGGUACCUGGAGAAGAAGCACCGGCUAACUACGUG